UGUUAGCCGUUGUGGUAUUGCCAUUACUAGGUGCACUGAUCUGAGGCAGGACAGGGCUAGUCCAGGCCAAAGCUGUUCCGGCAGCUACAGCCCCCAAGCAAACUGAGAAAGGCAGAAAGAGAGGAUUGUUCCAAAAAUUCAGUGAUUGAAACGCAAAGGGCGACUACUUACCAAUAAAAGCAGCCAGAUAUUGACGCGUCUUGGAUGUCUUAACAACACCAUCUUGCAGUGGAUCGUAGAGCAUUGGAUUGCGUGCAGUGGGAUCGGCAUCCUCUUGGCUAACGGUCUGCGGGGUGAGAGAGGCGGAUGUCCAAUGAUCAGCAACACGUGCUACCAGUUGACUGUGUGACGACAACCCCACCAGAACGCCCUAUCCCUCCCCUGUUGGCGAAUGUCUUGGCGCCGAGCGAAGCAAAUUAAAUCGAUUCCACAAAUCGUGCCAAAACAGCUAUAGCAACGACAGAAAAAUGCUGCUCAUGGUCCUCAGUUCGUCUCUUACGCUAAUUUUGACUUUUAUAUCUGCAACAUGCGGAAUUAUAUGCAAACUGCUCUUUGCCGUUUGGGCAAUGCUAAAGACUUUUUAUAGCACUCUGACGCUGCUGCGAGACGCACGCAAAUGCCAAGCAAAAAUAACCAAAAUUUGGGACACGUUGCACGCCUCCGCCGGACUGAGAGCAUUUAGGAAGAACAAGUCGAAGCAAAAAUUAAAUAUUUCUUAAUUGAACGAGCACACGCCUUCUUCUUCUGCUUCUGUUCUUGGACCGCCUCAUUAAUUAUCUUCAACCAACAACAAAACAACUAUGUAUAUCUG
Scaptodrosophila lebanonensis is the source of this 811-nucleotide long non-coding RNA. RefSeq lists it as uncharacterized. NCBI's taxonomy places the organism in Eukaryota, Metazoa, Arthropoda, Insecta, Diptera, Drosophilidae. The transcript is spliced from 3 exons. The record is from RefSeq and is a predicted model, not a curated record.